ACUUUGCACUAAAAGUGAACACAGUCUUUCUCCACCUCUUCCAUACCUUCUCCACUUCUGCUACCCAACCAGGAUGAUUCUGGGGAAGUCAUCAUUUGUUAUUACAAGUAAUAUAACAAUUAUUACCAUUUGAAAUACAACAAUUUGGUGAAUAAGAGGUCCACCACUUUCUUGCCACUGUGAGAGAGUCCUUCAACUGUUGAGAGUGAAAGGGACUCUGCAUACAUUGGACAUAAGGCAAGAUAUCAAGCUGCAUAUAAACAUUCAAAAAGCAACAGAUAAAAAAAAAAAAAGGAGUUCCUAUUGUGGCUCAGAGGAAACAAAUCUGACUAGCAUCCAAGAGGAUGCCCGUUAAAUCCCCGGCCUCUCUCACUGUGUUAAAGAUCCGGUGUUGCCAUGAGUUGUGUGUAGGUCACAGACUCGGCUAGGAUCUGAUGUUGCUGUGGCUGUGGUGUAGGACAACAGCUACAGCUCCAGUUCGACCCCUAGCCUGGUAACCUCCAUAUACUUUGGGUAUGGCCCUAAAAAGACCAAAAAAAAAAAAAAAAAAAAAAAGAGCAACAGAUACAUGAUCCACUUUUUAGUAUAAAAACAUUUUUAAAAAUUCCACCACCCUGAGUAAGCAAAUAUUUUUGAAUGAGUAAAUUAAGAAAUAUAAUGUGAGAAUAUUGCAGGCAAAGCAGUGCUAUUUUAUGCUGCAGACACUCUUCUCAGUGAUUUCUGCCUUUCUCACCCAAUGGUACCAAACUAUAAACAGAGUAAAUAAUGUAUCUAAGCCUUAUUUUGCAAAGUCACUAUACAAAAUGGUGACAGUUUGCAAACAACAACCAGAAAUCCUCUCUGGGAAAAAAGAAGAUAAUUAAACCUCAACUUGGGAUCCUGGUUGUUCACUAUGUUUCCUAAUUUGUCUUGAAAACAACUCCCUUGAUAUGUGUUUCUCACAACCUGUUUCUCAUGUCAAAUGGUAGAGUGAGGAUUUCAGCAGUACAGUCAGAUGACAGGAGGAGUCUGAUGAGGGACCACAGAGCCUGGAGGACGGACAGCCUGUGCGGUGGCUGGAGAAAGGGUGUGGGGGAGGCCCCAGCAGGGGAGAUCCUGAAAGCACCAAAGUCACUUUCUUUGGCCAGCCCUGGUCAGGAUGACUGUGGUUGUUUUGCUACAGAAAGGAAACGAAGACUCUCUUUUCCUGAGAGUGUGUAACCUUGAUUCUCGCCAAUCCGUACCCUCCUUCUUAGCAGCCAUAAACUUCCUGUUUUAGCCUGAAUGUGAAAUUCCCAGGAGACUCACAAAAACAGACAUUUCCUUUGACAUAUGAGAUGAGCCUAUUUCAUUUCUUUGGGUGUUUAUGGGACUAGUUUUUUUUUUUCUGUAGGAAAAAAUAAAAGAGGAAAGGGAUUCUUUGUAAGCUAAAAGUCCUUUUACACAAUUGGGGAAGCCCUCCAAAAACCAGGAAUGAUUAGCCUUGUGUUUGGUUUUGUUUUAAUUGAUGUGGGAUGAGGAGGCAGGCACGAAGCUUUUCAUUCCUUGUGCAGCUAACAGAGGAAAGGAGCCCAGGUCAAAAGCAACAGGGAAAGUGAGACAGCAAAGGGGCCUUGGGCAUAUUCUGGGAGCCUCUGAAACCAAGAGAGUUCAUUUCUCAGCCCCCUUGCUGGAGGAUUCAUAUUAACCCUGAUUCUGUCCCACACAUUUCUCAUGCUACUUUUUAUAAACAAAAUUCAGCUUUGGUUUAACUGCUUAGUAAUUUGUUUUUUUCUAACUCUCCUGCUAUUAUUUCUUUCAGGUUGCCUAGCUAUUCAAGUUAAAAAAACAUGUGUCAUGUAAAUAGGCAUUUUCCUCAGCGUGUCUGAAACUGCAAUUAUACCUGCACCCCCCCCCAACAACUGUCCUCCGAGUUAUACGUGUUAACAUAUUUUCAAAAACCUCAGUCUGGAAGGUGAGAAGGUGAAAGGUUGGAUUGUGACAUUGUUGACAAGCUGUCAUCCUCUUCAGACUUGCAGACAAAAGGGAGCAACGUGAGCACAAUUUAGGACCUAGGUAACCACGAUUUUUUACAUAACCACCAAUAGACCUCACAAUAACAGAGAGAUCAAAGUGAAAAAGUUUAAAGGCAGUGACAUGGAAUGACACUGGAUAAAGAUGGCCAAGACAGGAAGUUAAAUAUUAAGUCCAGGAUACAAGAUAUCAACUUCUCUUCACAAGAAAACUAUCUAGCGUGUUCAGUUUGCCAAGGAAAACCUGUAAUUCAUUCAUCAGCCCUUUGUUUACCCAGAAGGUACAGAAUGGGGUCCUCGGCAGAGUAUGCACUGGCUGCUCUAAUUAAUUAGAUUUUUUUUUUCUGGGAUUUCUAGAUUCCUUCCAUCAAUCCAACCUUAUCUCCCACGAUCUCCCUGAAUUCAGCCAUAUUUUUUUUUCUCAUGUCCCUUCAACCCACCAGGAGCUUGUCCACUCUCCUCAGGGCCCAAAUUCCUCCCUUUGCUAAGAAGUUUCUCUUCCUCUGACUUCCAGGCACCAAUCUCCAAUCCUUAUCUGCACGCCCAAGCUAAGUAAGCUCCACCUCUUCCAAGAACACCUUCCAGACAGUAUUGUGUAUUGUAUUGUAAAGAAGUGCUUUUCGAGGUUUUUGUUUGUUUGUCUCCUUAAUAUUUUUUAAAGACCCAGGGAGGGAAAAAAAUAUUAUUUAUACUUCAAAUUCUGCAAAUUUCAGCACAUAGCAAGUAUUCAGUAAACAAUUAUUCAAGAGUUGACCAGUUAACUGAGAGUUAAGAGAAUGAGAAAGUUAGAGUUUGAGGAAGACACCCAUAUAGACUUUUGUUUAAAAUUAACUAUCAUAAUAGUUAAUCAUAACUAUCAUUUACACUGAUGUCUCCAUGUCUUCUGAGGCUAAGGCACUAGAGUUAUUCAUCUGUCUCAUGUGCCUUGGUCCUGUGUCUGCUACAGAGUAGACACUCAGAUACCCAGUAAAUGAGCCAGUUACCCCAUGCAGAAGGUAUUAAUGAGUGAACAUUGUAGGCUCACACCUUUGGGUCUCUAAGCAAUACCUACCCAAACUUCUCAGGGAAUUAUGUUCUGAGUUGAAAAUACUCCUGUGGGCCCCAGGAGGAACACAUCCUUGGACCAACAAAUCAUUAGCUUUGAGCCCUGAAGGAAGAGGCAGAUCUUCUACUAAGCAAGGGGACCUACAUGAGGCCCCCAGGGCAGUGGAAACACUUUAGAGUUUGCAAGUAUGAGAUGAGUCCAGUUCUCUGUUAAUUUGAUUCCUUUGGGGGGGGCCUUGAUUUGUGUCUUUUUUGGCUACCGUCCGGGGGGGGGCCUUGAUUUGUGUCUUUUUUGGCUACUGUCUGUUCACUUUGAAUUUCCCUUCCGCAUCUGUUUUCUCCUUCGUCUUCUCCACUUUCCCUUUUGAGCUUAUUAUCUUGAAACGCAACUGGACAGAGAGUAAGGUAGCUGGGAGACACCCUCAAGACUGAGAUGAUGUGUACAGUAGAGGUUUUCCCCAAUUACAUGACCUUGGGCUGAAACUGGGGCAUUUUCUAAUAGGAUAGAGUAAGCAACUUGAAGCAUUUCAUUGAACUUUAAUAUCUCCAAAAAACACUUGAGUAGUUACUGUGCUAUAAGUUCUCUGCUGUGCCCCAGGGGGACACAAAGGGGAAGAUACCUCAAUCUUUGGCCUGCAGGAAUGUAGUAAUAAGAGUACCUUUGGAGUUCCUGCUGUGGCUCAGCAGAAACAAACCAACUAGUAUCCAUGAGGUUGUGGGUUGGAUCCCUGGUCUCGCUCAGUGGGUUAAGGAUCUAUGGUGUAGGUCGAAGACACAGCUCGGAUCUAGAGUUGCUGUGGCUGUGGUGUAGGCCGGCAGCUACAGCUCUGAUUAGACUCCUAGCCUGGAACCUCCAUA
This 3893-nucleotide long non-coding RNA is filed under the name Sus scrofa (pig). RNAcentral's name for it is "lncRNA (ENSSSCG00000056739.1)". The record is from RNAcentral. Lineage: Eukaryota; Metazoa; Chordata; Mammalia; Artiodactyla; Suidae.